Molecule: ribosomal RNA, 460 nt
Filed under: uncultured bacterium
Lineage: Bacteria
Description: partial 16S ribosomal RNA
Rfam family: Bacterial small subunit ribosomal RNA
Source: RNAcentral
CCUACGGGAGGCAGCAGUGAGGAAUAUUGGUCAAUGGACGAGAGUCUGAACCAGCCAAGUAGCGUGAAGGAUGAAUGCCCUAUGGGUUGUAAACUUCUUUUAUAUGGGAAUAAAAUGUUCCACGUGUGGGUUUUUGUAUGUACCAUAUGAAUAAGCAUCGGCUAACUCCGUGCCAGCAGCCGCGGUAAUACGGAGGAUGCGAGCGUUAUCCGGAUUUAUUGGGUUUAAAGGGAGCGUAGGUGGAUAGUUAAGUCAGUUGUGAAAGUUUGCGGCUCAACCGUAAAAUUGCAGUUGAAACUGGCAGUCUUGAGUACAGUAGAGGUGGGCGGAAUGCGUGGUGUAGCGGUGAAAUGCUUAGAUAUCACGAAGAACUCCGAUUGCGAAGGCAGCUCACUGGACUGCAACUGACACUGAGGCUCGAAAGUGUGGGUAUCAAACAGGAUUAGAUACCCGAGUAGUC